CCCAAAAUCAAAGCCCAACUACUUAGUUUUUUCACUUGGCAGUACCUACAUCUCUUCUCUGAAAAAAUCCAAAGCCUCCAUAGACAAAACACUUUCAGAUCGUAUAUGGUGCCAGUUGCAGGUGUACUGUCAAGAGGUAUAGCCGAAGUCUUCAAAUAAGCAUUAGAAUCUCUAUUAAGGACCGAGGCACCAUGAUAUGUAACAACAACUUCACUAACAAUAAGAUAGGCUGAAGCUGACUGUCCCGGACUUCCGAAUUUUCAGUGGUCUGAAUUCUUUUGCCUUGCUUGAUUUAUAAAGUAGUUGAGACGAACAUCACAAAGAGAUCUGGUACUUCAGUCCUUGGCUUGGCUUCAAACCUGUGUAAAAAGACAUGGUAAUACAUGAAUUAUCUUUAGCUUUGUUCCAUUUUUUGAACUGCAGAAGCAUAGAAGUGGCUCUAUCAGACCAAACUAGAGGUUCUAGGUACAUGGGUAGCUGUUGUAAAUAACUUUAGACACUGUCCUUUCACGAAGCGUGGAACAUUUAAUGAUAAGUGCCUGAAAUACAUCUUUUGAAUUUCAAUUUUUUAUACUUUUCUUUACUAUUUUCUCUUAAAUUUUUGUAUAUUACGUUUCUUUUGCAUUUUGUAGAUAUUUUGGAGUCAUACAACAUGAAAGAAGUCAAAUAUGAGCUUAAUUCGUUACAUGGCGAUUUCAAGAGUCGACGGCGAUAGAAGUAAAAGCUAAAAGUCUUCAAGACUGGGUCUUAUGAGCAUGCCCAAGGGCUUCCCAACCCAAAAAAGCGUGGCCAAAGGGGGUGAUUCCCUCAAGGGUUCCCUAGUAUGCGGGAAUCCCAUCGGGAAGACUCCGGGAACGGCUAAUGGUUAUCCGUUUCCAAAAUGCAGAAAACGGUCAUCCAUUAACCGUUCUUGUUAAGAUACUGCAAUCAUAGUUGCAUGGAAUGCGGUAAUGAAAGCUCUGGUUACUGUUGAUGCUGUAGCACCAUCCUAUAACUUCUGGGAGCUGGUUUAUUCUCAUUUUCUUCAAAACUUUUUGAAUCCAAACCAAAGAUCAAAGCAAGCUUUAAGAUACAGGGUUGGUAGAUAAAAAGAGAUGUGAAAACUUAUGUUAUCAUCCAAGCUACGCUAUUAAGAGACUUGCCACCGGUAUUCAUUACAGCGCAAAUGACGGUCGAAACAAUGGCGAAAGCAAGGUUUCGUGAAACGCAUGGACGCAAUUUUAGGUUUUACGAAUGUUACCUCCUUAUGAAGGAUGGAAUGGUAGACUAUAAUCCAAGAAGGUUUUUUUGGGCACAGAUAGAAUCGUAAAUACUUGUGAUUUUCAGGUUUUGUUGGUAAACCUCUUGUAAACCAUCCCGAGACACCACUCGGUCGGUAGGGACACCUGCAGGUUUAAAGGCUUGUUCCACGUGCUAAGUGCAUCCGAGAUACCUACGACAGUGACCUAAUAAGAGUUAAAUUGGCUCAAUGUACUAUCUUGUAUUUUAGUUUUAAAUUAAUGAAAUAAGUUAAAUUA
This is a long non-coding RNA of Papaver somniferum (opium poppy), 1517 nucleotides long. RefSeq lists it as uncharacterized. The record is from RefSeq and is a predicted model, not a curated record. Lineage: Eukaryota; Viridiplantae; Streptophyta; Magnoliopsida; Ranunculales; Papaveraceae. The transcript is spliced from 3 exons.